RNAcentral lists this ribosomal RNA (449 nucleotides) under uncultured bacterium. RNAcentral's name for it is "bacterial SSU rRNA". It matches the Rfam family "Bacterial small subunit ribosomal RNA", at positions 29 to 524 of the family's 1533-position model. The record is from RNAcentral.
AGCGAACGCUGGCGGCAGGCCUAACACAUGCAAGUCGAACGGAUCCUUCGGGAUUAGUGGCGGACGGGUGAGUAACACGUGGGAACGUGCCCUUUGGUUCGGAACAACUCAGGGAAACUUGAGCUAAUACCGGAUGUGCCCUUCGGGGGAAGAUUUAUCGCCAUUGGAGCGGCCCGCGUCUGAUUAGCUAGUUGGUGAGGUAAAGGCUCACCAAGGCGACGAUCAGUAGCUGGUCUGAGAGGAUGAUCAGCCACAUUGGGACUGAGACACGGCCCAAACUCCUACGGGAGGCAGCAGUGGGGAAUCUUGCGCAAUGGGCGAAAGCCUGACGCAGCCAUGCCGCGUGAAUGAUGAAGGUCUUAGGAUUGUAAAAUUCUUUCACCGGGGACGAUAAUGACGGUACCCGGAGAAGAAGCCCCGGCUAACUUCGUGCCAGCAGCCGCGGUAAU